AACGCGCGGCGUGGGGGAAGGGAAUGAAAUAGGAUUAGACUGGAGAGGACAUUAGGCGGUGCUGCAGUCGUCACAACGGCUGGAGCUUGGCGGUUUAGAAUUCCCUUCAUCAUUGUCACAAUUCGAAGAAAGAAAGCUGAGGCAUUUGUUUGAUGCGGGCUGCCCCUGGGCAAGAGCUGGGGGUGUCACUUGGCAGGGCAGCUGCCUUCUUCUUCCUGUGCCUCGCAGCUUCCCCCAGAGACACCUUGCCCUGGUUGAAGCACCAGCUGUGCCUUUCCUGAGUCUCCAGCUGUUUGCAGUUAACCAGACUGAGAAUCAUCAGCAUGAGUGGCUGUGGUAUUCAUUGGUGACUGCGGAUUCAGAUACCAAGAUUAAAACAUUUACUUUAACUCUCAAGCAGG
Non-coding RNA from Peromyscus maniculatus bairdii (prairie deer mouse), 401 nucleotides. The record is from RefSeq and is a predicted model, not a curated record. Lineage: Eukaryota; Metazoa; Chordata; Mammalia; Rodentia; Cricetidae.